UACAUUUUCCUACCUGAUGGAGUUAAAUUUUAUACCUUCGGCUUAGCUGCGGUUUGCUGGGCAAUUUGGAAUUGCCGCAACCGAACUACGUUUGAGCACAAAAUGGUAAAGACCCCUUUUGAUGUGGUUUUCUCUACAUGUGGGUUUCUUACCUACUGGGCAGGUUUGAUGACAGGAGCGGACCGCGAAGCAUUGGAGCGCAGCGCUAAGAUGCUCAGGACCAAUGCAUCGACUAUGAUGCGGAUUUGCGCGGCUCCAGCAGAGGUCAAGAUGGAUUGA
RNAcentral lists this ribosomal RNA (279 nucleotides) under Triticum aestivum (bread wheat). Its description in RNAcentral is "partial small subunit ribosomal RNA". Lineage: Eukaryota; Viridiplantae; Streptophyta; Magnoliopsida; Poales; Poaceae. The record is from RNAcentral.